RNAcentral lists this ribosomal RNA (510 nucleotides) under uncultured bacterium. RNAcentral describes it as "partial 16S ribosomal RNA". It matches the Rfam family "Bacterial small subunit ribosomal RNA", at positions 28 to 507 of the family's 1533-position model. The record is from RNAcentral.
GACGAACGCUGGCGGCGUGCUUAACACAUGCAAGUCGAACGAAGAGCGAUGGAAGCUUGCUUCUAUCAAUCUUAGUGGCGAACGGGUGAGUAACGCGUAAUCAACCUGCCCUUCAGAGGGGGACAACAGUUGGAAACGAAUGCUAAUACCGCAUACGAUCUAACCUCGGCAUCGAGGAAAGAUGAAAGGUGGCCUCUAUGUAUAAGCUAUCACUGAAGGAGGGGAUUGCGUCUGAUUAGCUAGUUGGAGGGGUAACGGCCCACCAAGGCGAUGAUCAGUAGCCGGUCUGAGAGGAUGAACGGCCACAUUGGGACUGAGACACGGCCCAGACUCCUACGGGAGGCAGCAGGGGGGAAUCUUCCGCAAUGGACGAAAGUCUGACGGAGCAACGCCGCGUGAGUGAUGACGGCCUUCGGGUUGUAAAGCUCUGUUAAUCGGGACGAAGGGCCUUCUUGCGAAUAGUGAGAAGGAUUGACGGUACCGGAAUAGAAAGCCACGGCUAACUACGUG